Molecule: ribosomal RNA, 253 nt
Filed under: uncultured bacterium
Lineage: Bacteria
Description: partial 16S ribosomal RNA
Rfam family: Bacterial small subunit ribosomal RNA
Source: RNAcentral
UACAGAGGGGGCAAGCGUUAUUCGGAAUUAUUGGGCGUAAAGGGCGCGUAGGCGGCGAUUCAAGUGACGGGUGAAAUCCCUCGGCUUAACCGAGGAACUGCCUGUCAGACUGGAUUGCUUGAGGCCGGGAGAGGCGAGUGGAAUUCCCAGUGUAGCGGUGAAAUGCGUAGAGAUCGGGAAGAACAUCGGUGGCGAAGGCGGCCCGCUGGGCUGUAGCUGACGCUGAGGCGCGAAAGCGUGGGGAGCAAACAGG